RNAcentral lists this ribosomal RNA (1343 nucleotides) under uncultured bacterium. Its description in RNAcentral is "partial 16S ribosomal RNA". It matches the Rfam family "Bacterial small subunit ribosomal RNA", at positions 30 to 1394 of the family's 1533-position model. The record is from RNAcentral.
AUAACGCUGGCGGCGUGCCUAACACAUGCAAGUCGAACGCGGUUCGUGAGGAAACUCGUGGACCGAGUGGCGGACGGGUGAGUAACACGUGGGUUAUCUACCUUGAGGUGAGGAAUACCGGCGAGAAAUCGCCGACAAUACCGCAUCGGUUUGGCAACAAACAAAGUUCCGGGAUCUCCCGGGACGCCACAAGAUGAGCCUGCGCCCGAUUAUGCUUCGUUGGUGGGGUAAAAGCCUACCAAGGCGACAAUCGGUAGCUGGUCUGAGAGGACGAUCAGCCACACUGGGAUUGAGAACGGCCCAGACUCCUACGGGGGGCAGCAGUGAGGAAUUUUCGUCAAUGGGGGCAACCCUGAACGAGCAACGCCGCGUGCAGGAAGAAGGUUUUCGGAUCGUAAACUGCUUUUCCUGGGGAAGAAGAAGGACGGUACCCAGGGAAGAAGCCCCGGCUAACUACGUGCCAGCAGCCGCGGUAAUACGGGGGGGGCGAGCGUUGUUCGGAAUCACUGGGCGUAAAGGGCGCGUAGGCGGCCCGCACAAGUCUGCGGUGAAAACCUCCGGCUUAACCGGGGGCCGGCCGUGGAAACUGUCGGGCUGGAGGCUGGGAGAGGGCAGCGGGAUUCCCGGUGUAGCGGUGAAAUGCGUAGAGAUCGGGAGGAACACCGGCGGCGAAGGCGGCUGCCUGGACCAGUCCUGACGCUGAGGCGCGAAAGCUAGGGGAGCAAACAGGAUUAGAUACCCUGGUAGUCCUAGCCCUAAACGAUGGAUACUGGCUGUGGGGGGUAGCCAACCCCCCCGUGGCGAAGCUAACGCAUUAAGUAUCCCGCCUGGGGAGUACGGUCGCAAGUCUGAAACUCAAAGGAAUUGACGGGGGCCCGCACAAGCGGUGGAGCAUGUGGUUCAAUUCGACGCAACCCGAAGAACCUUACCUGGGCUUGAAGUGGGGCGGAAAGGGGCUGAGAGGCCUCUGUCCCUUCGGGGACUGCCCCAGAGGUGCUGCAUGGCUGUCGUCAGCUCGUGUCGUGAGAUGUUGGGUUAAGUCCCGCAACGAGCGCAACCCUUGUCCUUAGUUGCUAACGGGAGAGCCGAGCACCCUAAGGAAACUGUCGGCGAUAAGCCGGAGGAAGGCGGGGAUGACGUCAAGUCCUCAUGGCCUUUAUGUCCAGGGCUACACACGUGCUACAAUGGGCGCCACAAAGGGCCGCAAACCUGCAAAGGGGAGCCAAUCCCAGAAAAGCGCUCUCAGUUCGGAUUGGAGUCUGCAACCCGACUCCAUGAAGCUGGAAUCGCUAGUAAUCGCGGAUCAGCAUGCCGCGUGAUAUUAUCCCGGGGUGCACUCCCGC